UUUUUUUUUAAGAUUGUAUUUAUUUAUUUAUGAGAGAGAGAGAGAGAGAAAGGCAGAGACAUAGGCAGAGGGAGCAGCAGGCUCCCCACAGGGAGCCCAAUGUGAGAUUCCAUCCCUGGAUCCAGGAUCACACCCUGAGCUGAAGGCAGACACUCAACCACUGAGUGUUUUAAUAACUGAAACAUGAGAACCAUGUGGGGCAAUGCAAAUCAAUUUCUCCAGAGUAUUGAGUGCCACUUGCUUAUUUCAGUGCUUCGCAAGAAGAAAAGUCAAUGAAUUUGGCAAAAUUAUCAACUUGAACAGCAGAAAUCAACAUCUUCUUACUUAUGAAAGCAAUAACCAGCAACUAUCUGUUAGGAAAGAGAGGAGAGAAUGGCUGGUAAAUGAAGCAAAUUCUGAAAAGUUCAAGUAUGCUGAGACAAAGGAGCCCCAGUCUUCAGGAUAACCAGUGACAAGUUAAUUCUUGACUCUGAGGCUUCCUAGCCUGUUCUAAAACACUCUUAAAAAACUACCCAUCACAGAGAAGUUGGCUCUUUAUAUGUGACCAGAGGCAGCUCGUCUCCUCCAGCAGACAGGCACAGAACAAGGAAGCAGGAGCCAUGGUUUUUAGUUCCACCUCAGCCACUGACUUGUUUUGUGAUUUUGAUCAAGUUCCUUCACCAACUAAACCUCAGAGAGGUGCUAGAAGAACUCAAUGAAAUCACAGAUAUGGAAGUACUCUGCAAAGCAAAGAGUCCUGUACAAGUGUGAGGGAUUAUUAUCAAAACAGAUUUUAUGCCAACCUUUCUGAUAUCACCUCAAAGCCUCCUCAGCUUUGAUGCAGGAUUCCCAGCUCCCUAGUUGCUUCUUCUAAAUCCUACUGGCAUGGAAACAUGAGCUUGCACCUUCCUGUCUCUUGCCAACUGCAUCCUUAAUGAGGCCAGAUGGUUAUUCUUUACCAGCUCUAGUCUCUCCCAGAGGGGCACAGUCUUCCUCAGAAAAAAGACCCUCCCUUCCAUAAACAGCAAUGACUCUUUAGGCACAAUCUACCUAUGUGGUAAGUGUGAAGCAAGGAAGAAAGAAAGCUGGAGCCAUCUACAGCUUCAGAGGAGAAAUCUGUAAUUUGAGUAAAACUUGCUUGACAAGCUCUCAGUAUCUAUAACACACACACACACACACACACACACACACACAGUUAAUGAAAGACUCAGUUUAGUCCAUAUACCAUAGCAAUCAGAAAUCUUACCUGAUUUCCUCUCCCUGCUCCUAAUCCCGUGCUGCCCACUCUGAGUUUGUCUUCUCUCUACUGCCUGUGAAGAUUCUAAUUCAGUGCUGCCAAUUUAUACACUCCUGGGAGGGACAGGAUUCCAGGAAUCUUUGUCCCUGCCAAUCAUAAGUUAGAAUUCCCAAAUUUUUGGUCAUGUCUGAUUUAACCCUGUCUAUAUAUUACAUGAAUGUUAUUGGCUUCCUAACUGGGGACAGGAGUUGGCCUCAAAAUUAAGAAUCCGUUGUUUCAUUC
This 1498-nucleotide long non-coding RNA is filed under the name Canis lupus familiaris (dog). RNAcentral describes it as "lncRNA (ENSCAFG00000053142.1, ENSCAFG00805024486.1, ENSCAFG00845023521.1)". Lineage: Eukaryota; Metazoa; Chordata; Mammalia; Carnivora; Canidae. The record is from RNAcentral.